AGUUGAGUUAUAUUUCAAUUUUCGCGCAAUUUAAGUGAGUAUGAAACCAUGUCACUCAGCCAAUCAGGAAAUCGUUAAAGUUCAACAUUUAGACGAAUCAAUGCGUAUGGCGUUAGUCUAUUGUCAAAAAUCAUAGAGAGAAAUUGCGUUAUAUCGAUAAAUUAUAUAGAUAUAUCGUAAUUUGUGGAAUUUAAUAUUUAUUGAAUUGAUGGUUUAAUUUAUAGAUUAUUAGUAUUUUUUUUUAAAUUAACAUAUCAUUUGUGCAGUUUAAUUAAAUAAUGGAGAUUAAAUAAUUAAUGGAAUGAUUUCAAAAGUGUGAUAGGUUAUGUAUCACGACUUUCGUGCAACUAUGAAUAGAAAAUAUUUUGUUUUCGGGUAAUCGAUGAUUCAUGACUGUACAUCGCUCGACAUAUUUCGAUGAACUUCAAGCAUAUCUUCUUCGUUCAAUUCGAUAAUCGAAAUCGCAGUGUCAGAGAUGUCAUUUUUCCGUCAAAAAUCGUGUUUUUGGAUGUUUCGCUUCAGAUUCCAUUUUCCUCUAUUUUUUUUGGCAUUUCCAUGGAUCAGCAUCGCUGGCAAUACGUAAUUUUUCCCAUUUAAUGGUCAAUCUUAUGCAUUUUUGUUCCUUUAAUCAUUCGUCGUAGUUUAUUACGAAAGGUCCAAAGCGAUAUGAGUGACUAUUUAUAUACGUAGAUUUUUACACAGGGACCGCGGAUAUUUAUUAUAUUAUAUU
Molecule: long non-coding RNA, 730 nt
Organism: Apis mellifera (honey bee)
Lineage: Eukaryota; Metazoa; Arthropoda; Insecta; Hymenoptera; Apidae
Exons: 4
Source: RefSeq, a predicted model, not a curated record